Molecule: unclassified non-coding RNA, 490 nt
Filed under: Pseudomonas putida
Lineage: Bacteria; Pseudomonadati; Pseudomonadota; Gammaproteobacteria; Pseudomonadales; Pseudomonadaceae
Description: 16S-23S ribosomal RNA intergenic spacer
Rfam family: Salmonella enterica Typhi npcRNA 44 (bases 242-376)
Source: RNAcentral
ACCUUAAAGAACCUGCCUUUGUAGUGCUCACACAGAUUGUCUGAUGAACAGUAAAUAGCAAGGCGUCUUGCGAUUGAGACUUCAGUGUCCCCUUCGUCUAGAGGCCCAGGACACCGCCCUUUCACGGCGGUAACAGGGGUUCGAAUCCCCUAGGGGACGCCACUUGCUGGUAUGUGUGAGUGAAAGUCGCCGACCCCAGUAUCUCAAAACUUACCUUCGGGUGACGUUUGAGAUAUUUGCUCUUUAAAAAUCUGGAUCAAGCUGAAAAUUGAAACGACACACUGUUUCAUUUCUCCGUAAUAAGAAAUGAAAAACGGUGUGCUCGAGUCUCUCAAAUUUUUGCAAGUCGAUGAUGAAUCGAAAGAAACAUCUUCGGGUUGUGAGGUUAAGCGACUAAGCGUACACGGUGGAUGCCCCGGCAGUCAGAGGCGAUGAAGGACGUGCUAAUCUGCGAUAAGCGUCGGUAAGGUGAUAUGAACCGUUAUAACCG